RNAcentral lists this ribosomal RNA (459 nucleotides) under uncultured bacterium. RNAcentral describes it as "partial 16S ribosomal RNA". It matches the Rfam family "Bacterial small subunit ribosomal RNA", at positions 338 to 795 of the family's 1533-position model. The record is from RNAcentral.
CCUACGGGGCGCAGCAGUGAGGAAUAUUGGUCAAUGGUCGGGAGACUGAACCAGCCAAGCCGCGUGAGGGAUGAAGGUACAGAGUAUCGUAAACCUCUUUUGUCAGGGAACAAAGGCGGGGACGUGUCCCCGGAUGAGUGUACCUGAAGAAAAAGCAUCGGCUAACUCCGUGCCAGCAGCCGCGGUAAUAAGGAGGAUGCGAGUGUUAUCGGGAUGUAUUGGGUUGAAAGGGGGCGCAGGCGCUCUGUUAAGUCAGCGGGCAAAGCCCGGGGCUCAACCCCGGCCCGCCGUUGAAACUGGCAGUCUCGAGUUGGAGAGAGGUAUGCGGAAUGCGCGGUGUAGCGGUGAAAUGCAUAGAUAUCGCGCAGAACUCCGAUUGCGAAGGCAGCAUGCCGGCUCCACACUGACGCUGAGGCACGAAAGCGUGGGUAUCGAACAGGAUUAGAUACCCCAGUAGUC